CAGUCGCCGCGGUAAUACGGAGGGGGCUAGCGUUGUUCGGAAUUACUGGGCGUAAAGCGCACGUAGGCGGUUUUGUAAGUCAGAGGUGAAAGCCCGGAGCUCAACUCCGGAACUGCCUUUGAGACUGCAUCACUUGAACGUCGGAGAGGUGAGUGGAAUUCCGAGUGUAGAGGGGAAAUUCGUAGAUAUACGGAAGAACACCAGUGGCGAAGGCGGCUUACUGGCUCAUACUGGACGCUGAGGUGCGAAAGCGUGGGGAGCAAACAGGAUUAGAGACCCCCGUAGUCCCUGUCUCUUAUAC
This 301-nucleotide ribosomal RNA is filed under the name uncultured bacterium. Its description in RNAcentral is "partial 16S ribosomal RNA". It matches the Rfam family "Bacterial small subunit ribosomal RNA", at positions 509 to 807 of the family's 1533-position model. The record is from RNAcentral.